UGGGGAAUCUUGGACAAUGGGGGCAACCCUGAUCCAGCCAUGCCGCGUGAGUGAUGAAGGCCUUAGGGUCGUAAAGCUCUUUCGCCUGUGAAGAUAAUGACGGUAGCAGGUAAAGAAACCCCGGCUAACUCCGUGCCAGCAGCCGCGGUAAUACGGAGGGGGUUAGCGUUGUUCGGAAUUACUGGGCGUAAAGCGCACGUAGGCGGACCAGAAAGUUGGGGGUGAAAUCCCGGGGGCUCAACCCCGGAACUGCCUCCAAAACUAUUGGUCUAGAGUUCGAGAGAGGUGAGUGGAAUUCCAAAGUGUAGAGGUGAAAUUCGUAGAUAUUUGGAGGAACACCAGUGGCGAAGGCGGCUCACUGGCUCGAUACUGACGCUGAGGUGCGAAAGUGUGGGGAGCAAACAGGAUUAGAUACCC
Molecule: ribosomal RNA, 417 nt
Filed under: uncultured bacterium
Lineage: Bacteria
Description: bacterial SSU rRNA
Rfam family: Bacterial small subunit ribosomal RNA
Source: RNAcentral